GGCUCAAUGGUCUAGUAGUAUGAUUCUCGCUUUGGGUUAGCUUAAAUGCGAGAGGUCCCGGGUUCAAAUCCCGGUUGAGCCC
This 82-nucleotide transfer RNA is filed under the name Fusarium lateritium. RNAcentral describes it as "tRNA-Pro". It matches the Rfam family "tRNA". Rfam says of the family: Transfer RNA (tRNA) molecules are approximately 80 nucleotides in length. Their secondary structure includes four short double-helical elements and three loops (D, anti-codon, and T loops). Lineage: Eukaryota; Fungi; Ascomycota; Sordariomycetes; Hypocreales; Nectriaceae. The record is from RNAcentral. RNAcentral also lists the same sequence under 1 other name.